Molecule: ribosomal RNA, 334 nt
Filed under: uncultured eukaryote
Lineage: Eukaryota
Description: partial 18S ribosomal RNA
Rfam family: Eukaryotic small subunit ribosomal RNA
Source: RNAcentral
CCCUUAGAUGUCCGGGGCCGCACGCGCGCUAAACUGAAGGAAUCAGCGUGGCUUUCUCCCUGACCCGAAAGGGUUGGGAAACCCGUUGAAUCUCCUUCGUGAUAGGGAUUGGGGCUUGAAAUUGUUCCCCAUGAACGAGGAAUUCCCAGUAAGCGCGAGUCAUAAGCUCGCGUUGAUUACGUCCCUGCCCUUUGUACACACCGCCCGUCGCUACUACCGAUUGAACGGUUUAGUGAGGGCCUCGGAUUGGUCUCGGCCCGCUCUUUACCGGGCGGCGCCGUUGGUCGAGAAGACGCUCGAACUUGAUCGUUUAGAGGAAGUAAAAGUCGUAACA